UGAUCCUGGUGGCAGCGGGGCCAGAGAC
This 28-nucleotide non-coding RNA is filed under the name Rattus norvegicus (Norway rat). The record is from RNAcentral. Lineage: Eukaryota; Metazoa; Chordata; Mammalia; Rodentia; Muridae.